GUAUCGCUUGAACCAUGUGGGCCCAGGCCCCACCCAACUGUUCCUGGGCACAGUGCCAGAAUGGGGAAGGGGUGGGUCUGUACAUCUCUGAGCUUCCACACAAACAGAUGCAACAUGGGGGCGCCCCUGGCACAGGGAAAGGCACUUGUGGGAAUAGAUAGGAACUCAGGAAAACAUGUAACACACUGUACACGUGUAGCAUCCCCGUGCCUAGGGACAUGCAAUGUUGCAGCGUUUACAUCACAUUAUGCACCAAACAUGAUACACUGCAGUACAUAUGUGGCUCCUACAUACUAGUUACCCAUAGUACUCAGCACAUACGUGGUACCUGUGAGCUUAUACACAUAUAGCAUCUCUACAUACAGGAACAAGCUGCAUGCAUUCAGGACCCAAGCACAUAUUAAUACUCUGUGCAUGUGUGUAGCACUUGCACACAUGAGCCAGGCAACAUUGCAGUGUACACGUAGGGCACCUGUAUGCAUAUGCAAAGUUCAGAGCACAUAAGUGGCACCUGCAUGCACAGGGACAUGCAAUAAGCAAUGCACACGGGGCAGGCUUCAGUCUCCAGAGCCCGGGAGACCCUGGCUGCGCGAGAUGCUUCUGGCUUGGGGUAUCGCUGGAGGGGCGUCGCGAAUCGCCUCACUCGGCGGUCCUGGAAGCCACAAGCCGGGGUGGGGGCUUACCCGGGGCUUCUCCCGCGCCGGCGCCUGAGGCCCGGGGAGGAGAGGGGGAGGGCGCGCUUGGCUAGGCUGGCGCUGCUCCCCCUUUAACAGGAGGCGGCGCGCGUCCCCCCCACCACCACCACCCUUCUCCCGCGGCUCCUCGCGCCCGUCCCGGCGCGCGCCCCCUCCCGGGCCCAGCCCGCGCAGGCGCCGCGUCCCGCCUCGGCCGUCACUCGGCCCGGCGCGCGUUGCGGGCAGCGGCCGGAGCGGCCGGAGGAAUCCGGUUCGGCGGCAGCGGCGGUGACAGCGGCGACGCUCGGAGACCGAGGAGGAUGCGGCACCGGCGCUCAGAGCCUGGGGCUGCGGCCGCCGCCCGCGAAUAGGAGGCGGCGCGCAGCGCAGGAGGUGCUCGGGGCGGGGAGCGGGGGCGGCGUGGCGAGGAGGCGGCGGCAGAAGCCCGCGCCCGCGCCCGGCCCGGCGCCCGCCCGACCGCCCGCCCGCCCCGCGCUGCUCCGCGGCGCCUUUUCUGCACUCGCCGCUCCACGGAGCGGGAGCCUCGGCCCUCUGCGCGGCUGCAGCGAGCUGCCCUGCGUCCGGCCCGGCCCCCGCCUUAGGGAUGGCAAACUUGCGCCCUGUGGCCGCCUCCGCCAGCGCCGGCCCCGCUCCUGCUGCUGACGGCGCCCAGGUGAGGAGCCGGAAGAGGAACCGAAGGUGAAAACCCAGUGGCCAAGGUCUGCAGAUGAGCCUGGGCUAUACAUGGCGCAGACAGGGUAA
Molecule: long non-coding RNA, 1436 nt
Filed under: Heterocephalus glaber (naked mole-rat)
Lineage: Eukaryota; Metazoa; Chordata; Mammalia; Rodentia; Bathyergidae
Description: lncRNA (ENSHGLG00100052350.1)
Source: RNAcentral